UGCUUAACAGUCAAAAAAGUGCAGUGUUUUGAAGUGAAGCGCAUUUGUAAAUGCAUUUGCCAAUAAGAUUAAACAAUAUGAGUGCAUCAAAAGUGAUUAAAAACGCAAGUCAACCAGUUAGCAAACCAGUACAAUUGGCGAAAUGCGCAUUAUACGCGUACAAACAGCUGGUGCAUCAAGUAACUGGAACCAACGUGGAAUCAGUCAGGACAGAGCCGACUCAAAUCGGAAGACUUUAGUGCUAAAUAACACCCUUUGGACUUUGGCGGGACUUUAAAUACUUGCAGAAAAUGACUAAAUGAAACAACUAUAACUAUAAUUUAAUAUUACAUUUAAAUACUCUAUUUACAUAUAUAUUAAUUUAUUAUAAUUGAUAAAUAUACGCCAUUUUAUAUUCUUA
Molecule: long non-coding RNA, 400 nt
Organism: Drosophila nasuta
Lineage: Eukaryota; Metazoa; Arthropoda; Insecta; Diptera; Drosophilidae
Exons: 2
Source: RefSeq, a predicted model, not a curated record